Ictalurus punctatus (channel catfish) is the source of this 797-nucleotide long non-coding RNA. RefSeq lists it as uncharacterized. NCBI's taxonomy places the organism in Eukaryota, Metazoa, Chordata, Actinopteri, Siluriformes, Ictaluridae. The transcript is spliced from 2 exons. The record is from RefSeq and is a predicted model, not a curated record.
AUUAUUGUAGGAUAAAGCGCACAAAAUACGGUAGGUGGCGGUACUGCGCCAUUAAGAAGAAGAAGAAGAAGUAGUAGAAGAAGAGAAAGCAGCGGCAAAACAGCAUACAUGGUCCUCGCUCUACUCACUACCUAUCGAACGGCGUGCAGAAGCUAUUGAGGACGUCAGAGUUGUGCAGGUGAACACACACACACACACACACAGUUGAAAGGUGUGUUAACUCUUCGGGGCCGUGAGCAUCGCCUGCGAGUUUCAGCAUGGUCAGGUUCACUAAUGUUCUCUUUCUCUCUUUACAGCAUGAAGGGAUUUGAUCUUACACACACACACACACACAACUGAAACACUGAGAGAACCUGUAGAGUCUCGGCUUUCAGACGAUCUCACACGAUCUCACACGAUCUCACACGUGGAGAACAUGAACAUUUUAUAUAAUCUCUAAACUGUAGAGAAGUUGCAGUUUGUUCCUGUGGUGAAAAGUGAAAGUAAUGUGAAACGUGGUCUCCUCCUCCUGUUCACAUAUUAAUGACAUGUUAAUGUCUUUCAGGAGCAGGAGAGAAGUGACGAGUGUGUGUUGGGUGUAAAUCAGGACAGGUACACGCUGAUGGAACACUCAGGUAGACUUUUGCACAGGAACCUUCUUGUGUGUUACAGUAAUUCUAGUAAAUUGUGUACUGACUUAUGAUUGUGCACUAAAUCCCUACAAUACUACAUGUUCCUUUUAUUCUGAUCAUGUUAAUGUGCUGAAAUAAGUGAAUGUGUGUGUGAGAGAGUGUCCUACAAUAAAGUGAUCAAAUGUG